CUGGGCAUGAGUCAUCAAAAAUUCAUUUCAAUUUCAAUAAAAAUACCGCAAGACUUUUUUGACAACCCAUUACUUUGUAAGAUAACUCAAAUUUCGUUUUUCCGUGAUUAGAUAUCUAACAACUUCGCUUCCAACUCAAAUGGCUGUCACAUACUAAGGCAAAAGGAAUUGCUAUAAUUGCAAAAUAAUCGUAUUUUCACGUUCAAAGGAAGUUCAUCGGUCGAUUUGGAACAGGCAUACAUCCACAUUUCUUAUCAUCGUCACAGUUGUGUGAUUCACAAAGCACUUGCAAAAGCAAAAGUAGCAAUUUGAAAGUCAAAAGAAACAAAUAUUCCUUUCCAAUGUGAAUGAUGAGUUGCAGUACUCAGCUUCUAUUGUAUUAUCCCGAUGCCUUGCAUUAAUCUUCUUAGUUGUUUUUGCAUAUGAUUUAGUAAACAUAACAGUGAGUUCUUCCUAAGCUCAAUAUGGAGGUACGCCUGUAUGAAGUAAGGAGCGAGGUGCGAUAGGUUAUUGGUUAUACUUUAUUUACACACAUAUGUACAUAUAUCGAGACAGUAUACAAAUAUUCAAGUAUUUCAAUAAUAAACUCUUCUUCUAGCUCAAAAAUAUCCAUUUACAUAUACAGCGGUACAUAUAUAUGAUGAGACAAUAACCGGUGUGUUUAACGUGGGCUGACGAUAGUCUUACCCCAUGGCGCUUAAUAAUCGAGUGGAUCAAAUCAAUGCCUUCCUCAGCGCCCCGAGAAUACGGAGCCAAUUGCAAGUGUGGAAUGGAUACACUAACCACUUUGGAAGGAUUUGAGGUCCAUCUGAAACUUCUUCCGUACUUUGGGUUUGGCACCCAGUUGCAAUGCAACUCCACGUUGAACUAACACGAGGUCAGUUCCUCCGCAUUCGGUUAUUAAACCACAACUAUCACGAUACUCUCCGAAAUGCCGUGCUGCAUGAGCAGGUUGAAACGAGCUCUAAACAGGAAGCAGGAGCCUCCCGUGUUACCAGAAUUAAGUCUCCGGUCAGAUCUCGUAGCCGAAACUACUGCCAGUUGAAAUUUCAUACUUCUCUGGAGUGAUGAUUAGGGGUUGUACCAACAGUUACAUUGCACGAACACACCAUUUCCACAAGAAGAUAGCCCUAAUUCUUAGUUAAGCGCCUUCGCUGUCUAAACUACUCACGCACCAGUCUAAUUCUUCGGAGAUCGGUAAUGACUGAGCACUUUGGACACUCCGUGAUCACAUGCACUCAAAAAAUGCAAUUCAAUGGCGAAAAUUGUAAAGUUUUCGACGUUUGUUAACUCAGCAAUAGUGCAAUGAUGAACUUGAUUCAAUGUUUAGCGAUGGGCAUAGAUCACUCAAAACAUCGAUUUGAUAAGUCAUCUACCGUAUAGUCUUGACUUGGCACCGAAUGACUUAUUUUGAACUAAGUGGCCGACGUUUUUCGACUCCUGAAGAGUGGUAAAAAUGCUUCAACAGUUGGCUUAAGCCCAUGUAAAAGUGUAUAGAUCUUAAUGAAGAUUUUGAUAAACAAUUUUUUCACUUAAGUAUUAACAUUUGUUUUCGUUUUCUAAUUGCUGUCAUCUAGAAGAAUUUUACUCCCUAGGUAUCCCCGCAUCUCCAUAUGAUCAUCGGAAAUCCGGCAAUUCUGCAUCAAUAAUACACUUAAUCAGAACAAGGGAAGAUGUACCUAAUAAAACCUGCAUCGCAUCCAUUGAAACGAAGUGACAUACAGUUAAAAUAUAUCAGCUACUACACAUGAGAAUGAUGAACAAUGUUAUUGACCACUUUAGCGUAAGCACCGCUGCACGGAACGCUGAUAACCAACACAAGCACUUCUGAUUUAAUAUAACACAAUUCCAUCUAUAUAAAAUUAAACGUCAACUUACUGACGGAGGCAUCGAUGGUCACCUUUGACUUAAAUACAACAACAACACAUCCCUAGGUAUAAGAUGGCAGCGCAAUAAAAGCCACAGCAAGUGGACUGUUGAGCGUAUUGCAGCAACUUCUGCCUGCAGUCAACUCCUGGCAGCGCUCCGUUAGCUACUUUCGGCGCCAGCUACAAGCUGUGGCAUUGACAUCUGUCCGACAUUUAAUGUGCGUAAUCGUAACAGGUACCGUUAAACAGAUGGGUUGCUGUCAAGAUCAAGUGAUGGCUUAUGUUCGUACUUAGCUUAGUGUAAAUUUAUUGGCGUCUCUCGCAAGACGACAGGCAAUUAUGUGUGCUUCACACAUGCAAGUACUUACACUUCCACAUAUUAUAAUACACAAACAAGCCUACGCAUUUACUUGCAAGCCAUCAUCUUCGUAGCUCAGCCUUCCGGUACGUGAUAUAAUUUUUGGCAGCCAUGCCGGAAGAUGGAUUAUGAAAUAUAGAUGGGUGGAGGGUGAAGAUCUGUGAUGGCACACGAUACACGUGUUGAAAAAGUGAUGGUAUACCAAUGUAAAAUCAUUAUAACCAAAGUUACUUAUUAAUGUUGUUACUUCCUUUUGUAUCUGGCAUAUUAUUUUUAAGAUUUUCUCACAAGAAUAAAACGAGUUAU
This 2532-nucleotide long non-coding RNA is filed under the name Bactrocera tryoni. RNAcentral's name for it is "uncharacterized LOC120777728, transcript variant X4". The record is from RNAcentral. Lineage: Eukaryota; Metazoa; Arthropoda; Insecta; Diptera; Tephritidae.